This 161-nucleotide unclassified non-coding RNA is filed under the name uncultured Conlarium. RNAcentral describes it as "sequence contains ITS1". The record is from RNAcentral. Lineage: Eukaryota; Fungi; Ascomycota; Sordariomycetes.
UAGAGUUGCAAAACUCCCUAACCCUUUGUUGACAUACCUGUUGUGUUGCUUCGGCAGGCGGCCCCAGGGCGGGGCCUCCAGCCUAUUUUAUAGGUGCCUGCCGGAGGUAUUCAAAACUAUUGUCACUUUGUUAAAUCUGAUUAUAUUUAAAAAAUAAAUCA